UCACACCCAGCCCCUCUCUCUCUCAUCUCCACACGAAACCCUAGCAGCUCUCUCUUCUGGAUUGCCAGCAGCAAUAGCAGCCACCGACCAGCGCUGCCGUCACCGACGAACUCUUCUUCUCAGCCAGCGUCGAACCCCGCCGUCGCGAUUCUCUUCUCAUGGAUCGCUUCACCUCGCGUCGCCAGGUAUUCUCGCUGUUGUCGUCGCUGCCUCUGUCCUCGUCAUCGUCGGCCACCUUGAAAUCAUGUCUCCGUCCUCAUCGUCGAUCCCUCUCUCUCGCGUGUCAAGCCUGUCUUCGAUCUCCUCUGUGCCCGGCUCACUUAUCCUCUUCCAUCGUCAUCAUUUGGAUUCCUCGUUUGCUACCGGUGUUCAAUUUAAUUUUGCUUGUUUUGUACUUUUAUUUAGUUUUCUGAUUUCUGAUUCUGAGGUUGCUAAUUUCUGUUUAUUCUGAGUUACUGAAUUUCUGAGUUUGUAAGCAUCCAUUCCUACCCUGCUUCAGUUUCAUUUUUGGGAGUUAAUUGCUGUUUUUUUUAGAUUUAAUUAUGUUAAUUGUUGCUUGUUUUUC
RNAcentral lists this long non-coding RNA (565 nucleotides) under Arachis ipaensis. Its description in RNAcentral is "long non-coding RNA (AIPA_LNC002275)". The record is from RNAcentral. Lineage: Eukaryota; Viridiplantae; Streptophyta; Magnoliopsida; Fabales; Fabaceae.